Molecule: transfer RNA, 72 nt
Filed under: Puccinia coronata f. sp. avenae
Lineage: Eukaryota; Fungi; Basidiomycota; Pucciniomycetes; Pucciniales; Pucciniaceae
Rfam family: tRNA
About the family: Transfer RNA (tRNA) molecules are approximately 80 nucleotides in length. Their secondary structure includes four short double-helical elements and three loops (D, anti-codon, and T loops).
Source: Rfam by way of RNAcentral
GCGCACUUAGCUUAGUGGUUAAAGCAUAACUCAUGAAGUUUGAGGUCAUGGGUUCAACUGCCAUAGUGCACA